Molecule: ribosomal RNA, 497 nt
Filed under: uncultured bacterium
Lineage: Bacteria
Description: partial 16S ribosomal RNA
Rfam family: Bacterial small subunit ribosomal RNA
Source: RNAcentral
GAUGAACGCUGGCGGCGUGCCUAAUACAUGCAAGUCGAGCGAACAGACGAGGAGCUUGCUCCUCUGACGUUAGCGGCGGACGGGUGAGUAACACGUGGAUAACCUACCUAUAAGACUGGGAUAACUUCGGGAAACCGGAGCUAAUACCGGAUAAUAUAUUGAACCGCAUGGUUCAAUAGUGAAAGACGGUUUUGCUGUCACUUAUAGAUGGAUCCGCGCCGCAUUAGCUAGUUGGUAAGGUAACGGCUUACCAAGGCGACGAUGUGUAGCCGACCUGAGAGGGUGAUCGGCCACACUGGAACUGAGACACGGUCCAGACUCCUACGGGAGGCAGCAGUAGGGAAUCUUCCGCAAUGGGCGAAAGCCUGACGGAGCAACGCCGCGUGAGUGAUGAAGGUCUUCGGAUCGUAAAACUCUGUUAUUAGGGAAGAACAAAUGUGUAAGUAACUAUGCACGUCCUGACGGUACCUAAUCAGAAAGCCACGGCUAACUACGUG